RNAcentral lists this ribosomal RNA (287 nucleotides) under Cambarus reburrus. RNAcentral's name for it is "partial 12S ribosomal RNA". Lineage: Eukaryota; Metazoa; Arthropoda; Malacostraca; Decapoda; Cambaridae. The record is from RNAcentral.
UGUUUUAGUCUAGUUAGAGGAACCUGUGUUAUAAACGAAACAACACGCAUUAUCUUACUUAUUUUAGUAAGUCAGUUUGUAUACCGUCAUUAUUAGAUAAUUUAGGAGAAAAUAUUAUUGAGGUCAUAUUAUUGAGUAUAUUAGAUCAAGGUGCAGCUUAUGAGUAAGUAAAUAUGGGUUACAAUAAAAUUUAUUUAGUAUGAAUUAAGUAUUAAAAUAUAUUUAUGAAGGAGGAUUUAAUUGUAAGAAAAAAGUAGUAAGGUUUUUUGAUAAGAGCUCUAAAUUAU